This is a long non-coding RNA of Sorex fumeus (smoky shrew), 621 nucleotides long. RefSeq lists it as uncharacterized. The transcript is spliced from 3 exons. NCBI's taxonomy places the organism in Eukaryota, Metazoa, Chordata, Mammalia, Eulipotyphla, Soricidae. The record is from RefSeq and is a predicted model, not a curated record.
AAUACCAGGGAUUGCCAGCAAUUACUGGGAUCUAAAAAGAGACAAGACACACUAUUAGAUAGACCUUUCAGAGGGAGCACAGACAUAAGGGCAUUCUGAUUUUGGAGAUAUAGCUUUCAGAAUUUUGAGGAAAUGAAUUUCCAUUUUGUUUUGUUUUGGGGCCAUCUAAAGUGAAGCUCAGGUGUUAGUCCUGGCCCUACACUCAGGAAUCGCUCCUGGUGGGGCUUGAAGACCAUAUAAAAUGCCAUGGAUUGAACUCAGCUAUGACAAAUUGGAGUUUCUGAAAGCUUCUUUACAUAAACACUACAGUGGUGGGAACAACAAUGAAGAAAAUGAAUCAAGUAGAAAUGAAUCAUACUAGGAGUUUGUGACCCAUGGAAAGGCACUUGGAAUUACACAAUUGUUUACAUUAGAGUUUCAUGGACACAAUGUUGCACCACCACCACCACCAGUGUCAGUAUCCCUCCGCUCUUGUUGCAGCGUCUGUCCCACCCUGAUGGCAAGAUUUAUUUCUGUACUUUUUGGGAGACAUUUACAUAUUUAUACUUUAAUCCAAAUUUAUAUGUAGGUUCAUGUGCAUUUUUAUUUUUUAUCCUCCCAUUAAAUUCAUCUUGUUCCUUU